RNAcentral lists this long non-coding RNA (2124 nucleotides) under Portunus trituberculatus (swimming crab). RNAcentral describes it as "uncharacterized LOC123498930". The record is from RNAcentral. Lineage: Eukaryota; Metazoa; Arthropoda; Malacostraca; Decapoda; Portunidae.
GGAGGAGGAGGAGGCCAAUUCCUGAUGAUGAUGAUGAUAAUGAUGACGCUGAUGACGAUCAUGCACACGCAAGCAUAUUCUUCCCUGCUCUACAAACAAAUUAGUCUUCUGUGCAAUACUGUCAUCACACCACAGCCAAUCAUCUUAUCCAAUCACUAGCUCUCCUUUCUCUCUCCUCUUUAUCACCCAGACCAUCACAACAUGUAGGUACUUGGUUUCAUCACGCUCUCCUCUUCCAUCACUCCUUUACACUUCUCAUUUUUCAUCACAUCAGUCAUAGUAUGCAGUAUUUCAUAUACCUGAACACAUUACAUUCAUUGCAUUAUUGUCUAAUCUUUUCUUUGUAUUGAUUUUUCUUUACAUCCUUCUUAUUUAAUUCAUUUUUUUAACCUUAUCUCUAACUUUAUUUUAGUGUGGCUUUACUGUAGGUACUUGAAACUGUCUUACUCGUCAAGGCUAUUAACUGCCAAAACUUAAUCCAUUCUGUUACUAUUCUUGUGUUUCCUUUAAUCUCAUUUCCUCUCAAAUCUCUACCAUGUAUUUUACUACCAGGUGCUCCACUCUCCUCUGAAUAAGCCACCAAUGUAAUACUGUACUGUAUACUUGCAAACAAUGGUAUCCUCUCUAUGCCCUAUCAAGCUAAAAACUCUGCCUAAUAUUACUGCAUUCAACUUACAACUCCACUCAAAGACAAACUAGGCAGUACAGUGAGGUGAAAGGGCAGCUGCCAAUGUGCCCUCUAAAUCUUGCCCAGCCGGUGAAGGGACCAGGAGCGAAAGAGGGAGCGUCUCCGGGAAGUUGGCGGUGCGUCACCUCCAUGACUCGCUUUCAAAAGCAACGUGGCCCCACCCUGCAGGUUGACCCAUCGCUCCACACUGCCUUCUGCACCUGGCUCUGUGAGGAAGGAAUGCACCAUCAUCAGUAAGCAGAAUAAUAUAGAACUGAAUUAAAAGUUGAUAAUUUGAGCUUAGAGUGAAAGACUGAUUGACACAUCAUAGACAAAUGCACACAACACAAAUCUACAUAUACCUAAUAGUACAUGAAGUGACCUUACCAGUGAAGAGAUCCCCAAGAGUCACAUUUGAAGAGUUGAGGAGCUGGCGUGACCCUGACCUGACUUCCAGCACCAAGACAGCACGUCGGCUCACCUCACUGUCCACUUGCCACUCACAGUCAAAAGUUGGUGAGGGGCAUGCAGGAACAAGGCGCGACCGACCCACUGUCUUGGUGCUCCUGCUGCCACCGCUGCUGCUGCUGGUGCUGCUAAGGCUUCCUCCAUUCUUCUCAUCACUGCUGAAUUGCAGGUGAAUGAAAAGCAAGAGAAAGAGGAAGAGGAGGAGAAACACAAGAGGCAGCAGCAGAAGAUAAUAAGCAUGGUGAAAAUAGGCAGGGAUAAAGGAAGAGUGAACAGCAAAGGAAGAUUGGAAGAUUGGAUGGGGAAGGAAACCAAGACAAGCAGAAGACACAGGAGAGGCAGGGCAGACAGGAUACAGGAGAGGCAAGGCAGGCAGGACACAGAAGAGGCAGGAGGAAAAAAUAGUGAGCAUGGUGGAAAUAAGACAUGGACAAGGGAAGGAAGGACAGAAGAGAAAAGGAAAAGGAAAUGAAGUGAAUAAACUUAACUAACACUAUUCACAAUGAAAUAGAAGCUACUUUUUUUUCCACAGAGUCAAAGUCAUCAUAAAAGAUACUCGUAAAAGUUGAUGUUUGAAAGGCUUAAUAUCUCUGAGGAAAGGAGAAUCAUGAGUCCAUGGUUGGCUUUAGUUCUGGAGGCAGUGGACCUUACUGUAAAAUGCUCACCUAAUACGGAUCCUGAGAAAGAGCUGCAGGCCUGAGCGAGGAAUGUGGAGCCCCUGCACACGCUUGGCGACGCCGCGCACAUUGACAAAUACCUCAGCCCGUUGUGGAAUACUGCUGCUGUUGUUGUUGUUUACAUUGUUGUUGUUGCUGCUAUUCAGUGCUUUCGUAGAUGACGAAACUGUCCGAUGAAAUGAGUUGGGAUGAAGAUGAGCUGCUGUGUGUGUGUGUGUGUGUGUGUGUGUGUGUGUGUGUGUGUGUGUGUGUGUGUGUGUGUGUCUUAGGUUUUUAAGGUAAAUUAGAUAUAAAACUCACUAAACUUAAUAU